GCAUAUCAAUAAGCGGAGGAAAAGAAACUAACAAGGAUUCCCCUAGUAACUGCGAGUGAAGCGGGAAAAGCUCAAAUUUAAAAUCUGGCGGUCUUCGGCCGUCCGAGUUGUAGUCUGGAGAAGUGCUUUCCGCGCUGGACCGUGUACAAGUCUCUUGGAACAGAGCGUCAUAGAGGGUGAGAAUCCCGUCUUUGACACGGACUACCAGUGCUUUGUGAUGCGCUCUCAAAGAGUCGAGUUGUUUGGGAAUGCAGCUCAAAAUGGGUGGUAAAUUCCAUCUAAAGCUAAAUAUUGGCGAGAGACCGAUAGCGAACAAGUACCGUGAGGGAAAGAUGAAAAGCACUUUGGAAAGAGAGUUAAACAGUACGUGAAAUUGCUGAAAGGGAAACGAUUGAAGUCAGUCGCGUUAGCCAGGACUCAGCCUUGUUUUUACUUGGUGCAUUUUCUGGUUGACGGGCCAGCAUCGAUUUUGACCGCCGGAAAAAGAUUGGGGGAAUGUGGCACCUUCGGGUGUGUUAUAGCCCUCAGUCACAUACGGCGAUUGGGAUCGAGGACCGCAGCACGCCUUUAUGGCCGGGGUUCGCCCACGUUCGUGCUUAGGAUGCUGGCGUAAUGGCUUUAAACGACCCGUCUUGAAACACGGACCAAGGAGUCUAACAUGCCUGCGAGUGUUUGGGUGGAAAACCCGAGCGCGUAAUGAAAGUGAAAGUUGAGAUCCCUGUCGCGGGGAGCAUCGACGCCCGGACUUGAACUUCGGUGAUAGAUCUGCGGUAGAGCAUGUAUGUUGGGACCCGAAAGAUGGUGAACUAUGCCUGAAUAGGGUGAAGCCAGAGGAAACUCUGGUGGAGGCUCGUAGCGAUUCUGACGUGCAAAUCGAUCGUCAAAUUUGGGUAUAGGGGCGAAAGACUAAUCGAACCAUCUAGUAGCUGGUUCCUGC
RNAcentral lists this ribosomal RNA (937 nucleotides) under Fomitopsis serialis. RNAcentral's name for it is "LSU rRNA". It matches the Rfam family "Eukaryotic large subunit ribosomal RNA", at positions 38 to 961 of the family's 3401-position model. Lineage: Eukaryota; Fungi; Basidiomycota; Agaricomycetes; Polyporales; Fomitopsidaceae. The record is from RNAcentral.